This 326-nucleotide ribosomal RNA is filed under the name uncultured eukaryote. RNAcentral describes it as "partial 18S ribosomal RNA". It matches the Rfam family "Eukaryotic small subunit ribosomal RNA", at positions 1470 to 1796 of the family's 1831-position model. The record is from RNAcentral.
CCCUUAGAUGUUCUGGGCUGCACGCGCGCUACACUGAAGCGUUCAACGAGUAUUCACCUUGCCCGGGAGGGUUGGGUAAUCUUUUUAAAACGCUUCGUGAUGGGGAUAGAUUAUUGCAAUUAUUAAUCUUCAACGAGGAAUUCCUAGUAAGCGCGAGUCAUCAGCUCGUGCUGAUUACGUCCCUGCCCUUUGUACACACCGCCCGUCGCUCCCACCGAUUGAGUGAUCCGGUGAAUAAUUCGGACUGCAGCAGUGCUUGGUCCUCCGGGCUUUGCAGCGGAAAGUUUAGUGAACCUUAUCACUUAGAGGAAGGAGAAGUCGUAACA